ACCAACAUCUAUAAAUACAGGACCCAAGUUUAUUAUUCCGAUACGUUUUACAUACAAUUGCAACAUACAUUCUUAUACAAAUUCCCUGUCUGACUUAAGCAUUGGGGACGUCGAGAACACACUUCAUUGUCUUUGUUUUAGGUUCUGAAAUGCUCUAUUCGUGUUCUUUCUCAGUCCCCUAGCUCAAUAUUUAAGUAGCAAGUUCGAGAUCCAUCAAGUACAAUUUUUGAUAGCAUCAUUGGUUCCAUCUAUGGGAAUCGAUUACAGUUACCCACAAGGGAAACACAUGAGAAAAGCCUACCAAAAUAUUCCUGAGAGAAAGGAAGAAGAUUGUCAAAAGCUUUGAAGAUAAUCUCAAAAUUCAGAGAAGUGACACUUGAAAAGAAAAACAAACACAAAAUUCUCGUCGCCCUCAAUUUCGUUUCAAUUCUCGUGUUACUUUCACGCCUCAAUUUUUUUCUUAAUUUCCGUUAAGUUUCCCUCCCCACCAACAACAAUCAUAUGCUUCUUAACUACAACAAGAAUCCCAAUUUCCCUUCCAGAAUUUCUCAAACCCUUCUUUUAUUAAAGUUUGUUUUGUUCUCCCAAAUUGAAAAAACGUCCAAGAUUUUGCUUUCAUUAUAGCAAGAAUAGUUUGGGAUUUUGUGUUUGAGAAAUUAUUAAAUUAGAGAUGAGUUUUCAAGAUCUAGAGCUGGUCGGAGUUGGGGGUGUCGAAUGGAUUGCAUAAAUGGGAAGCAAAGUCCGACCCAAGCCGUAGCUUUUAGAAUAUCCUAUAUCAAUGCGGCAUAUCCACCUUUCAGUGCCCCUGAUACCCUAGGUAUCCACAGGAUACGCCCAAGCUCUAUGAAAAGCUGCAUAAAACUAGGCUACUAUAAGUAGAAUUCUGGCAAUCUGUGAUAAUCCAUCGAAAGGGUUCUGGUGUGAUCUGCUUCGAUCUUAACAAGUGAACUGUUUCAAAUUUUGAUACAAUAACAAAGAAUGAAUUCUAUUUUGGUCGUGAAACUUCAUUUCGGGUAUUUUCCUCCAAUUAAAGAUGAGCUGAAUCAAAUUGAAAAGGGAAUGGAAGUUGAAAUUGGGCUCACCAUCUGUUUGAUGAAGUUUUUAGGCCAAAAUCUAACUGGUAACCACCAUUGAGAUAGCUAAGGUAAGAGCCCAAGGUAACCUUUUGCAAAGUGAAACUAUCGAUUUCGCAAACCUCCGACAACACUAAUACAGACAGCCAUGGUCCAUCUUUGCCUUGUGAAGAAUAAAAAAAAAAAAAAGAGGGUGCAUUUAGUGAACAACUAAAGGACUUGACAAGAAGUUCUGCAAAAACGUAAAAAUGUGAAAGAAAUAGAGGUAGCUCUAAAGAGGCUUCGUCGGCAACAAUUGGAUAAUAUCAACAUUUUUUGGCCUCCGAAUUGGGAAAAGUUGCGGCCUCCACUGGGUUAAUUAUCUCAAAU
This 1442-nucleotide long non-coding RNA is filed under the name Olea europaea subsp. europaea. Lineage: Eukaryota; Viridiplantae; Streptophyta; Magnoliopsida; Lamiales; Oleaceae. The record is from RNAcentral.